UUUCAUUCAUAGUCAUGUUGAGGUUUUUUGGUGAAGAAAAUAACUUGUAGGGAUUAUGUUAGUUGGUGAGUGGAUCACUCGGUAAUAUUAUCUUUGAAAAUCCAAAAUGGUACCACGUGCAUGUAGAGAUGCGUCUAGGACAUUGCAUGCACAUAAGUCUAUAAGAAAUGACUCUCACUUGAUUAUGUGACUUGGUGAAUUAUGCGAAUUACGUGAAUUAUAUGAUUGGUGGAUGUAGUGACUUAUGUAAAUUCGUGUACUUGAAUAUAUUUGCUCGGUGAUGCUAGUACACUUGAAAUAUUGUUGUCUAUAUAAGAAUGAUGUGAUGAAUUAUUUACGAUGAGAUAAUUAUGAGAAUGAUGCUUGAUUAUGACAUUGAAUGACUAAUUGAUAGUAUAUAUUAUGAUUGAAGUGAAGAUAACAUGAAUAUGAUGCUAGUAUUCUAGGAAUGAUGAAUAUGUAUAUAUGCACGAUUUACUUGAAUUUUAUAAUGCUAUAUUUGUGCUUAUAUCUUUUUAUGUGAAUAUUAUCUAACCUCUCAGUGGUCGUUUGGUUGACCGUCUCUUCAUUUGCAAAAAUGGUGUAGACGUGCAAGGUUGAUGAUGUUCGUGGAGACGUGUGUACCCAAGACUUGCAUAUCGCAUUCCUCAUUUUUCUUUUGCAUGGAGUCUAGUAUAGGCUCUGAUUAGGAUUGUCGGGAUUCUAUGUUUAUUUAUCUUUGAGAUUAUGUUGAGACCAUAUUGUUUAUGUAUUAUGAAACCUGAGAUAGGUUGUUGAGAUUUCUUGAUUCAUGCACUUUGAGAUUUUUGAUGUAUAUGAGAUAUUUGAGAUGUUGUUUUUAUUCCGAUGCAAGAUUUAUGAAAACCGAAUUAUGCAUGUUUUUGAGAAAAUGACGUAACGUCUUGAAUUCUUUUGAUUAAAUGAUUUAUUUGCAUUACAUAUUUCUUGUGGGGUUCAAGGGUGUUACAGUGUUGAGUUAUAUGUUCAUAUGGUCAAGUCCAGUGUUAAUGAAAAGUGUUGACGGGAUCAAUCGGUAAAAUAACUUUGACAUCCAAAACGGUACCACAUGCUUGUAGAGUCGUGUCUAUAACAUUGCAUGCAUAUGAAUCUAUGAGAAUUAUUUAUAUAUGAUUUUGGUGAAUGAUGUGAAUUAUGUAGAUGAUGUGAAUUAUAUAUAUUACAUUAAUUAUAUUCAUUAUGUGGGAUAUGUGCUUUAUGUAAAUGUAAGUUGAGAUGAAUAUAUGGUGAUAUUUUAUAAAUGAUGAUGUUGGUGUAAUUCGAUGAUUAAGAUAAAUGGAGAAUGAUGUAAAAAAUCUUUUUAUGAUUAAUGUUGUUGAUUUAUAAAAGCAUGUAUAUGCGAUAUUUGAAAUUCUAUCGUACUAUACUUGAAUUCAUAGUUUCUUAAUGUUAAUUGUAAAUUUAUCCUCCAGUGGUUGUUUGGUUGACCGCCUCACCAUUGUAAAAAUGGUGUAGACGUACAUGUGGAGACGCUUGAGAUGGUAUGAGUAUCGAGGAUUAGCUUAAGGCUUCCUCAUUUUCUUUGCUUUGGAGUCUAGUAUUAGAGAUGUAGAUUAAUAAUUCAUUAGUUCUAGUAGACAGUAGUAUAAAUAACUUGUAACCACCCCAUUAGUGGGAUACUGCUCAUCAUUUGUAACUUUCUAUUCUCAUUAAUACAAAGAGUUAGUUACUUUUCUCUCAUUCCUUCCAUGGAUAUCAUGCUUCAUAACACACUAAUGAGGUGGUUAUAAGUUAUUUAUACUAAUGUCUACUAGAGCUAAUGUACCACUAAUCUAUAUUUCUAAUAUCUAGUCUAGACUCUGAUUAGGAUAUUUUGAGUAUUAUUUUAUUUAUAUGCUAUGUUGGAAUUAUAUGGAGACCCUAUUGUUUUUAUUUGAUGUAUUAUGAGAUUUAGAUUUAUGAUCUUGAGACCUUAAGAUGAUUUUGGAGAUUAUUGUUUAUUCCGUUGUGAAACUUUGAUGAAAAAUGUAUCUUGCAUGUUUUGAGUUUAAUGAUGUAGCACCUUGAUCAUAAUAUGAAUUAUUUGUUGUAUUUAUAUUAAAUAUUAAUAGUGAGGUUCAAGGGUGUUACACUUGACAAAAGCACUUAAAACCAUUUUUAUUUCUCCUUUACUUAUACAUUUAUUUUAAUAAGUGUGAAUUGAACAAUGACUCACUCAAUUUCUUCGACAAGGUCCACAUUUAAAUUGUACUCACAAAUAUUAUUAACAUUACACCUAACUGGGUAAUAUGAUAUCUCUGGACAAUUAUAGUCAAAUACGCAAGGAAUACCAUCUGCAUUGUCAAAAAAAAAAAAAAAUUGUUUUACUAAAUGUUGUUAAAACGUUGUGUAUAAGAUAAAUUAUAAAAUUCAAAAAGGGUUUGAAAAAUGACACACCUCUAUAAAUUUGGGAAAUAACGAUGAUGAAAGCAUAAACAAACAUGAGAAUAUGAUUCAUAUUUUU
Molecule: long non-coding RNA, 2461 nt
Filed under: Medicago truncatula (barrel medic)
Lineage: Eukaryota; Viridiplantae; Streptophyta; Magnoliopsida; Fabales; Fabaceae
Description: lncRNA gene22971
Source: RNAcentral